UACGUAGGUGGCAAGCGAUACUCGGAAUCACUAGGCGUAAAGCGCAGGUAGGCGGUUUGGUAAGUCUUUUGUGAAAGCUCCCGGCUCAACUGGGAGAGGCCAAAGGAAACUACUAGACUAGAGUGUGGUAGGGGAUACUGGAAUUCCUGGCGUAGCGGUGAAAUGCGUAGAUAUCAGGAGGAACACCUGUGGCGAAAGCGGCGCACUGGACCACAACUGACGCUGAGGCGCGAAAGCUAGGGGAGCAAACAGG
Molecule: ribosomal RNA, 253 nt
Filed under: uncultured bacterium
Lineage: Bacteria
Description: partial 16S ribosomal RNA
Rfam family: Bacterial small subunit ribosomal RNA
Source: RNAcentral